AGUUUAAAGAAACUAUUUUAAAUGAAUCCUGCCCAGUGUAAAAUUAUAAAUGGCCGCAGUACCUUGACUGUGCAAAGGUAGCAUAAUCAAUUGGCUUUUAAUUGAAGUCUGGAAUGAAUGGAAUUUUGAAAAAUUUCUGUCUUAAAAAUAUUUGAUUGAAUUUAAUUACUAGGUGAAAAUACCUAUAUUAAGGAAAAAAGACGAGAAGACCCUUAGAAUUUUUAUAAUAUUAUAUUUAUUAAUUUAUUUUUGUUGGGGCGACAAUUAAACAUAUUUAAACUUUAAAUUUAAUUCAUAACGAAAUUUAUUAUACAAGAAUAAAUUACCUUAGGGAUAACAGCAUAAUUUUUUAAAAAGUUUGUGACCUCGAUGUUGGACUAGGAACUUAAUGGCUAGCAGUCAAUAUAGAUUUGUUCUGUUCGAACAAUUUAAUCCU
RNAcentral lists this ribosomal RNA (436 nucleotides) under Protancylus pileolus. RNAcentral describes it as "partial large subunit ribosomal RNA". Lineage: Eukaryota; Metazoa; Mollusca; Gastropoda; Protancylidae. The record is from RNAcentral.